UAGUGGUGUCAUAAGGUGACUAGGCCCA
Molecule: non-coding RNA, 28 nt
Filed under: Rattus norvegicus (Norway rat)
Lineage: Eukaryota; Metazoa; Chordata; Mammalia; Rodentia; Muridae
Source: RNAcentral